RNAcentral lists this ribosomal RNA (257 nucleotides) under uncultured bacterium. Its description in RNAcentral is "partial 16S ribosomal RNA". It matches the Rfam family "Bacterial small subunit ribosomal RNA", at positions 524 to 776 of the family's 1533-position model. The record is from RNAcentral.
UACGAGGGGGGGCAAAUGUUGUUCGGAAUCACUGGGCGUAAAGGGUGCGUAGGCGGGUCUUUUAAGUCAGGGGGUGAAAUCCUGAGGCUCAACCUCAGAACUGCCUUCGAUACUGGCGAUCUUGAGUCCGGAAGAGGUUGGUGGAACAGCUAGUGUAGAGGUGAAAUUCGUAGAUAUUAGCUAGAACACCAGUGGCGAAGGCGGCCAACUGGUCCGGAACUGACGCUGAGGUGCGAAAGCGUGGGGGAGCAAACAGG